Molecule: ribosomal RNA, 349 nt
Filed under: Ogmoderes sp. CO907
Lineage: Eukaryota; Metazoa; Arthropoda; Insecta; Coleoptera; Bothrideridae
Description: partial 12S ribosomal RNA
Source: RNAcentral
UUAAAAUGUAAAUAUAAAAACUAAAUUAGUAAAAGUUAUGUUCUUAAAAUUUAAAGAUUUUGGCGGUAUUUUAGUCUUUUCAGAGGAACCUGUUCUAUAAUUGAUAUUCCACGAUUAAUUUUACUUUUAUUAUAAAUUUGUAUAUCGUCGUAGAUGAAUAUUUUAUAAGAAUAAAUAUUCAAUAUUUUUAAUUAAAAUUAAAAUCAGAUCAAGUUGCAGUUAAUAUAAAAGAAGAAAUGGGUUACAAUAAAUUAAUUUAAAUGGAUUAUAUAAUGAAAUUUAUUUAUGAAAGUGGAUUUGAGAGUAAUUUUAAUUAUUUUAUUAAAAUGAUUUUAGCUCUAAAAUAUGU